RNAcentral lists this microRNA (22 nucleotides) under Marchantia polymorpha subsp. ruderalis. Lineage: Eukaryota; Viridiplantae; Streptophyta; Marchantiopsida; Marchantiales; Marchantiaceae. The record is from RNAcentral.
UGAACAGACAUAUUGAAGAGGC